UAAAUGAAUUUUUGCAGUUUAAUUGCAAAAAUGCUGACAUGUCAUUAAACAGUAGAAUAGUAAAAGACAGAUUUAAAAAAAAAAAACGCAACUGAAGACAGUAACAAUUAACAACAUAUGGCAAUGACCACUGUACUGAAAUCCAAUGAUCAGAUACAUUCAAUGUAUAUCACUAGUUAGCUGAACUCCUGCUCUUUAAGUACAACAAUGGUGUAAGUACCCAGAGAAGCCUACAGUAAUGCUGCUGACAAGGGCUGUCAAUAGCUGUUCUGUUACAUUCUCAGGCUUGGAAAGGACAGAUACUUCCUAUACUGUUGGAUUGGAAAACAGAAAGGGGUGGGGUGGACUACAAAAGAAUUUUUUUUUAAAUAAGUAAAUAAGUUACAAAAAAAAAAAAAAAAAAAGGAAU
Non-coding RNA from Biomphalaria pfeifferi, 409 nucleotides. Lineage: Eukaryota; Metazoa; Mollusca; Gastropoda; Planorbidae. The record is from the annotation of a GenBank genome assembly.